GCCGUGGAACCACCUGAACCCAUGCCGAACUCAGAAGUGAAACGCGGUAGCGCCGAUGGUAGUGUGGCAUUCGCCAUGCGAGAGUAGGAC
RNAcentral lists this ribosomal RNA (90 nucleotides) under Aeromonas hydrophila. Lineage: Bacteria; Pseudomonadati; Pseudomonadota; Gammaproteobacteria; Aeromonadales; Aeromonadaceae. The record is from RNAcentral.